UUAAGUUAAUAAGGGCGCACGGUGGAUGCCUUGGCACUAGAAGCCGAUGAAGGACGUGACUAACGACGAAAUGCUUUGGGGAGCUGUAAGUGAGCAAUGAUCCAGAGAUGUCCGAAUGGGGGAACCCGGCAGGUAAUGCCUGUCACUCAUUACUGUUAAGGUAAUGUAGAGGAAGACGCAGUGAACUGAAACAUCUAAGUAGCUGCAGGAAGAGAAAGCAAAAGCGAUUGCCUUAGUAGCGGCGAGCGAAACGGCAAGAGGGCAAACCGAAGAGUUUACUCUUCGGGGUUGUAGGACUGCAACGUGGACUUAAAGAUUAUAGAAGAACUACCUGGGAAGGUAGGCCAAAGAGAGUAAUAGCCUCGUAUUCGAAAUAGUCUUUAUACCUAGCAGUAUCCUGAGUACGGCGAGACACGAGAAAUCUCGUCGGAAUCUGGGAGGACCAUCUCCCAACCCUAAAUACUCUCUAGUGACCGAUAGUGAACCAGUACCGUGAGGGAAAGGUGAAAAGCACCCCGGGAGGGGAGUGAAAUAGAACCUGAAACCGUGUGCCUACAACAAGUUCGAGCCCGUUAAUGGGUGAGAGCGUGCCUUUUGUAGAAUGAACCGGCGAGUUACGAUAUGAUGCGAGGUUAAGUUGAAGAGACGGAGCCGUAGGGAAACCGAGUCUUAAUAGGGCGCAUUAGUAUCAUGUCGUAGACCCGAAACCAUGUGACCUACCCAUGAGCAGGUUGAAGGUGAGGUAAAACUCACUGGAGGACCGAACCAGGGCACGUUGAAAAGUGCUUGGAUGACUUGUGGGUAGCGGAGAAAUUCCAAACGAACUUGGAGAUAGCUGGUUCUCUCCGAAAUAGCUUUAGGGCUAGCGUCGAUGUUAAGUCUCUUGGAGGUAGAGCACUGUUUGGGUGAGGGGUCCAUCCCGGAUUACCAAUCUCAGAUAAACUCCGAAUGCCAAUGAAUUAUGGUCGGCAGUCAGACUGCGAGUGCUAAGAUCCGUAGUCGAAAGGGAAACAGCCCAGACCACCAGCUAAGGUCCCAAAAUAUAUGUUAAGUGGAAAAGGAUGUGGGGUUGCACAGACAACUAGGAUGUUAGCUUAGAAGCAGCUAUUCAUUCAAAGAGUGCGUAAUAGCUCACUAGUCGAGUGACCCUGCGCCGAAAAUGUACCGGGGCUAAAACAAUUUACCGAAGCUGUGGAUACCUUUAUAGGUAUGGUAGGAGAGCGUUCUAUGUGUGGAGAAGGUGUACCGUGAGGAGCGCUGGAACGCAUAGAAGUGAGAAUGCCGGUAUGAGUAGCGAAAGACAGGUGAGAAUCCUGUCCACCGUAAGACUAAGGUUUCCAGGGGAAGGCUCGUCCGCCCUGGGUUAGUCGGGACCUAAGGAGAGACCGAAAGGUGUAUCCGAUGGACAACAGGUUGAUAUUCCUGUACUAGAGUAUGUAGUGAAGGAGGGACGCAGUAGGCUAACUAAAGCGUGCGACUGGAAGUGCACGUCUAAGCAGUGAGGUGUGAAUUGAGUUAAAUGCUUAAUUCUAUAACAUUGAGCUGUGAUGGGGAGCGAAGUUUAGUAGCGAAGUUAGUGACGUCACACUGCCAAGAAAAGCUUCUAGCGUUAAUCAUACUCUACCCGUACCGCAAACCGACACAGGUAGUCGAGGCGAGUAGCCUCAGGUGAGCGAGAGAACUCUCGUUAAGGAACUCGGCAAAAUGACCCCGUAACUUCGGGAGAAGGGGUGCUGGCUUUGAGUCAGCCGCAGUGAAUAGGCCCAAGCAACUGUUUAUCAAAAACACAGCUCUCUGCUAAAUCGUAAGAUGAUGUAUAGGGGGUGACGCCUGCCCGGUGCUGGAAGGUUAAGAGGAGUGCUUAGCGUAAGCGAAGGUAUGAAUUGAAGCCCCAGUAAACGGCGGCCGUAACUAUAACGGUCCUAAGGUAGCGAAAUUCCUUGUCGGGUAAGUUCCGACCCGCACGAAAGGCGUAAUGAUUUG
Molecule: ribosomal RNA, 1983 nt
Filed under: human gut metagenome
Description: bacterial LSU rRNA
Rfam family: Bacterial large subunit ribosomal RNA
Source: RNAcentral